GAGUUUGAUCUUGGCUCAGGAUGAACGCUGGCGGCGUGCCUAAUACAUGCAAGUCGAGCGAACGGACGAGAAGCUUGCUUCUCUGAUGUUAGCGGCGGACGGGUGAGUAACACGUGGGUAACCUACCUAUAAGACUGGGAUAACUCCGGGAAACCGGGGCUAAUACCGGAUAACACAUGAAACCGCAUGGUUUCAUGAUGAAAGACGGUCUUGCUGUCACUUAUAGAUGGAUCCGCGCUGCAUUAGCUAGUUGGUAAGGUAACGGCUUACCAAGGCAACGAUGCAUAGCCGACCUGAGAGGGUGAUCGGCCACACUGGAACUGAGACACGGUCCAGACUCCUACGGGAGGCAGCAGUAGGGAAUCUUCCGCAAUGGGCGAAAGCCUGACGGAGCAACGCCGCGUGAGUGAUGAAGGUCUUCGGAUCGUAAAACUCUGUUAUUAGGGAGAACAUAUGUGUAAGUAACUGUGCACAUCUUGACGGUACCUAAUCAGAAAGCCACGGCUAACUACG
Molecule: ribosomal RNA, 513 nt
Filed under: uncultured microorganism
Description: bacterial SSU rRNA
Rfam family: Bacterial small subunit ribosomal RNA
Source: RNAcentral